This is an RNA transcript of Manihot esculenta (cassava), 826 nucleotides long. It is a transcript of the gene named actin-related protein 2/3 complex subunit 5A, with no coding region annotated. The transcript is spliced from 5 exons. NCBI's taxonomy places the organism in Eukaryota, Viridiplantae, Streptophyta, Magnoliopsida, Malpighiales, Euphorbiaceae. The record is from RefSeq and is a predicted model, not a curated record.
GUCGACACCAACAUUACUGUUUUUGGUUUCCUCAUCAUGCACGACACCGUUACAGGGAAAGAGGCGGGGAGAGAAGAGCAGAUCUCCGAUGGGAGGGAAGGAGGAAUAUGUAGAGGCAGAUAAUGCAGAGGCAAUAAUCACUAGAAUCGAACACAAAUCUCGCAAGAUCGAGAGCUUACUUAAACAGUUCAAAUCAGUGGAAGCUCUCAAAACCGCCCUUGAAGGUUCGCCCCCCAAUACCCGAGACGAACGAUGCAAGUCUGCGAAUUGGAUAGUGGUGCACAGGGCGAUUAUGGCCAUAAAAGAUGUGGAUGGGAUGUUCUCUACUUUGGACCCUGAGUACUACGAUAUUCUUAUGAAGUACUUGUAUAGGGGUUUGUCUACUGGAGAUCGAACCACAUGCGACCAGUGUCUACGUAUACAUGAAAAGUUGACAGAGAAAGCUGGCUUGGGUUGCAUAUUGCGUGUCCUUGCAGACACCUGUGAAUACUGUCUGACUUCAUCUUUAACUGCUCCAUGCGUCUAGAACUUUUGUUUGAGAGAAUCGUUUCCCUUCUCAGAGAAGAAAUAUCUUUGCCGUUCGAUCCUAUCAAACAAUAUAUGAUUUGGUGCUAUGCUUAUCUCAAUCAGAAGAAGUCAAUAAAUACAGAGGCAGGAUCCAGGGAGUAGGAUACGAUCAUCAUCCAGAUCCGUGAACAGGGCUCUGGUUUUCUUAAUCGCCCUCGUGCUGGAAACCAUCUCGGAGGCGGCAAAAAUAGGUCCCACACCUAUGAAAAUUAAUUAAUGUUAAAAAUUAUAUUAAAUUAAAUUAAUACUUUUAAUAUUU